Molecule: unclassified non-coding RNA, 1368 nt
Filed under: uncultured Neocallimastigales
Lineage: Eukaryota; Fungi; Neocallimastigomycota; Neocallimastigomycetes; Neocallimastigales
Description: partial contains internal transcribed spacer 1, 5.8S ribosomal RNA, internal transcribed spacer 2, and large subunit ribosomal RNA
Rfam family: Eukaryotic large subunit ribosomal RNA (bases 594-1368)
Source: RNAcentral
AAAAUAAUCCUACCCUUUGUGAAUUUUGUUUGUUUGAAUAAUUUUUUUUUUUAAAAAAUUAUUGGAGUCUUUCCCUUUAGAGUUUGCUUUGAGUUUGUAAAAGAAUUCGAAAACAUCUAAAGGGGAUGGUCAAUAAUUUUUUUUGAAAAAAGACAUUUUUUAAAAUUAAACUUUUUGUAUUCAUUUGUCUAAAAAUUAUUUUUAUAAUAUAAAAACAACUUUUGACAAUGGAUCUCUUGGUUCUCGCAACGAUGAAGAACGCAGCAAAAUGCGAUAAGUAGUGUGAAUUGCAGAAUACGUGAAUCAUCGAAUCUUUGAACGCAUAAUGCACUUUUUUAGUUUACUAAAAAAGUAUGUCUGUUUGAGUAUCAGUAAAAUAUUCUCAUAAAAAUCAUUGUAUUUUUAUGGUUAUGAGUGUUUUACAACGAUACAAGUUGUUUCACUUUAAAUUUUUUUUUAAUAUUGAAAUUUUUCUAAUUUUAAUAAUUAAAAUUGGAUAAAAUUUUCCCGUCAAAAGGAAUAACCUAAACAAUUUUAAAUGAUUAAUUUUAGCAAAAUUUUCGAAAAAAAGGAAAAUUUUUAUUAAAAUAACUUGAUCUCAAAUCAGAUAAGAGUACCCGCUGAACUUAAGCAUAUCAAUAAGCGGAGGAAAAGAAACUAACAAGGAUUCCCUUAGUAACGGCGAGUGAAGCGGGAAGAGCUCAAAUUUGAAAUCUUCAAGGUUUUACCUUGACGAAUUGUAGUUUAAAGAAGUGUUUUCUGCUGAAGUUUUGGUAAAAGUUCUUUGGGAUAGGACAUCAUAGAGGGUGAGAAUCCCGUAUUUGACCAUUAUUUUCAGCUUUGUGAUACACUUUCAAAGAGUCGGAUUGUUUGGGAAUGCAGUCCAAAAUGGGUGGUAAAUUUCAUCAAAAGCUAAAUAUUGGCGAGAGACCGAUAGCGAACAAGUACCGUGAGGGAAAGAUGAAAAGAACUUUGAAAAGAGAGUUAAACAGUACGUGAAAUUGUCAAAAGGGAAGCGUUUGACACCAGUGUUGUUUUCUCGAAAAUCAAUUAAAAAUGGCUCGAUUUUGUAUUGCUGAGACCUUAAAAGCUCACUGUACAUUUUUCGUGUCUUUUUUAAUGCACUUUUCGUUUAACAAGUCAACAUCAGUUUCUUUUGUUGUAAAAGGGUCAUUGGAAGGUGGCUUUCUUUUCGGAGAAAGUGUUUAUAGCCUUUGGCCUCUACAAUCGAAGAGACUGAGGUCUGCAGCGUAGACUCUUCGGGGUUAGAUACAUUUGUGCUAAGUUAUAGCUUUUUAUAGACAACUUGUUGACUAUAAUUAGUCUUGUAGCUUACUCGCUUAUGCUAUUUUACCUACGCUUAGGAUG